GUGUCAGCCGCCGCGGUAAUACGUAGGUGGCGAGCGUUGUCCGGAAUUACUGGGUGUAAAGGGCGUGUAGGCGGGAUUGCAAGUCAGAUGUGAAAUUCUUGAGCUCAACUCAAGCGCUGCAUCUGAAACUGUGAUUCUUGAGUGCUGGAGAGGAAAGCGGUAUUCCUAGUGUAGCGGUGAAAUGCGUAGAUAUUAGGAGGAACACCAGUGGCGAAGGCGGCUUUCUGGACAGUAACUGACGCUGAGGCGCGAAAGCGUGGGGAGCAAACAGGAUUAGAUACCCUGGUAGUCCACGCUGUAAACGAUGGAUACUAGGUGUAGGAGGUAUCGACCCCUUCUGUGCCGGAGUUAACACAAUAAGUAUCCCACCUGGGGAGUACGGCCGCAAGGUUGAA
Molecule: ribosomal RNA, 395 nt
Filed under: uncultured bacterium
Lineage: Bacteria
Description: bacterial SSU rRNA
Rfam family: Bacterial small subunit ribosomal RNA
Source: RNAcentral